Coffea arabica (coffee) is the source of this 117-nucleotide non-coding RNA. The record is from RefSeq and is a predicted model, not a curated record. Lineage: Eukaryota; Viridiplantae; Streptophyta; Magnoliopsida; Gentianales; Rubiaceae.
GAGGGUUUUGGUUGAAGAUGCAAAUGGUGGCUGUUUCCGUUUCUUAUGAGGUCUGCUUCAGUUGGUUCUUCUGCAGAGAUAAUUAAUUUUUGCCCAAGUUUUUUUUUGCUUUCUCUG